CGGCCACACUGCGCAGGCGCAGCCGGGCCCGUGCAGGGGUUCUGGGAGCCAAGGCGACUGAGGGAGGCCCCGGCUCGGCGGAGGGCGCGGGCGGUGGGCGGGGCCCGGCUGCGGCGCGCGUGUGCACGUGACCACCAGGGCUCCGGGGAUUGGGCAGGCCCAAGCGGCGCCACGUCGGCUCGGCCGCGGGCUUCGCCGACCUCUUGACGGAGCUGUGCGAGUGAGGGCUGUUGCUGGCCAGACUGGGAGCGGGCGCGCAUGCGCCUCAGGGAGCCUGGUCCCUACUUAGUAUCCAGGGAAGAUGAGGUGCGCUUCCCGCCGUCAUUUGAGCUGACUUUUUUAAAUCAGGGAAGUGAAGUAAGGACAUAGCGUCACAUUCCCGGCCUCUUCUGAGCUGACUUUUUUAAAUGAGGGAAGUGAAGUAAGGACAAAGGGUUCUUAUAUGAUACUUUUAUAAGGUUUCUAACCAUGUGAGUCUUAAUCCUGUAUACCUCCCCAAGUGUAUGGUAUUGAGUGAAUUGUAGACAAGCAAGCUCUGACUUCAGCAAUACUAAUGAAGGAACUUCCCAUGUGACGGAAUGGAUAAGAAUCUGCCAGCCAGUGCAGGGGACACGGUGUAUUGUAGCCACGCGUUCCAGGAAACAAACUCACCCAGAAGGACAAUGCAGAUAGUGGAGUGCAGUUUAUUACACCGGGGGGCCCAAGGCAGGGUCUCCUCCUAGCCAAGAACCCCGACCGACUUUUGUGAAAACCUUAUAUACCUUAGGCUCAAGCCCACAUCCUCAAAUUCCUUAAACCUAGCCUGAAAAAUGUUAAAGGGAGAUACAAUCAGGUCACAGCCAUGAUUCAUAAUCAGAAGGGUCAGCUGGUUAUACAUUGUAGCCUACACCAAUGGGUGCCAUAAAGAUGAUAAAGGUGAUUGACUACAUAGGGGAUUGUCACAUUCUUUUUGGCGAUGGGGAAUCUUGGUAUGGAAUCUGGUGUUUAUCAGUACGGGAGGCCAGUUCAGCCGUAGGUAUGUUAUGCCCAUGGCUACCAGGCACAUAGUCCAAAGCUGACUGAAAGUGCGAGAUGGAGUUUCCUUCUUUUUCAAGAUGGAGUCAGCACUGCCUGUUCCUCUCCUCCUUCAGUAACACUGAAGUAACCCCACAUGCUGGGGAACAACUAAGCUGGUGUGCCACAACUACUGAAACCCGGUUGGUAUCUAAAGCCUGUACUCCACAGCAAGAGAGACACCGCAAUGAGAAGCACUAGCCCUGCAGCUGAGGAGUAGCCCCUGCCACUGCAACUAGAGAAAAUUCUUGCAAAGCAACGAAGACGCAGUGCGGCCAAAAAACAAAUAAAUACAUAACAACAACAAAAACGAAAGACACCAUGAUGUGAACAAAACUCAGAAUUCACCGUAAGUCAAAGAAGCAAGAUGUGAGAGAACAGACUGUGUUACUUUGUUUACAAGGAACACCGGCAAAGACAAAUCUUACCAAUAAUGUGAGAAGUUGUUAGGGAACAGUUGACCAACACUGCCUGCCCUGACUGGACAUCAUAACAACACCGUAAGUCUCCUACCUCAGGAUGCUUCAAAGAACAUAAAGUCAAAGAAGGGCCCAAAACCAACCUGGGGAAAACCAAAGAGGGGCCAAGAAGGGGAGAAGUGUGUGUUAGUCGCUUCAGUUGCAUCUGACUCUUUGUGACCCCUUGGACUGUAGCCCGCCAGGCUCCUCUGUCCAUGGAUUCUCCAGGUGAGAAUACUGGAGUGGUUUGCCAUUUCCACCUCCAAAGAAGGGGAGAAGAGACCAGUCCAUAAAAUCUCUUGCCAACCUCCCAGACUCUCUCAUGCUGGAAAUCAUUUUGAUUGAGCGAUACAUAUGCCAUCAGGAAGGGCCCUGCAUCAGACUGAAUGAGGACAUGAGCAAGAUGACUGGCCAGAGACAAUCCCAACUCACCUAACCCCACCCACCGUAAAACUUGAGACUGCAAGCCACAAGGCAGAGCAGUUCUCCUAGUCUCCCUUACACUGUUGCUCUCCAUUCCAGCGUCACUUUUCAAUAAAGUCUUUUGCUUUGUUAG
Long non-coding RNA from Bubalus bubalis (water buffalo), 2067 nucleotides. RefSeq lists it as uncharacterized. The record is from RefSeq and is a predicted model, not a curated record. NCBI's taxonomy places the organism in Eukaryota, Metazoa, Chordata, Mammalia, Artiodactyla, Bovidae. The transcript has 2 exons.